AACAUGGCGUACUGCUCAGUAACACGUGGAUAACCUGCCCUUAGGACUGGCAUAACCCCGGGAAACUGGGGAUAAUUCCGGAUAGUUCAUGGUAGCUGGAAUGCUCCAUGAUCGAAAGCUAUUGCGCCUAAGGAUGGGUCUGCGGUCUAUCAGGUAGUAGUGGGUGUAAUGUACCUACUAGCCGACGACGGAUACGGGUUGUGGGAGCAAGAGCCCGGAGAUGGAUUCUGAGACAUGAAUCCAGGCCCUACGGGGCGCAGCAGGCGCGAAAACUUUACAAUGCGGGAAACCGCGAUAAGGGGACACCGAGUGCCAGCAUCUUAUGUUGGCUGUCCGCAUGUAUAAAUCACAUGUGUUAGCAAGGGCCGGGCAAGACCGGUGCCAGCCGCCGCGGUAACACCGGCGGCCCGAGUGGUGGCCACUAUUAUUGGGUCUAAAGGGUCCGUAGCCGGUUUGGUCAGUCUUCCGGGAAAUCUGACGGCUUAACCGUUAGGCUUUCGGGGGAUACUACCAGGCUUGGGACCGGGAGAGGUAAGAGGUACUACGGGGGUAGGAGUGAAAUCUUGUAAUCCUCGUGGGACCACCAGUGGCGAAGGCGUCUUACCAGAACGGGUCCGACGGUGAGGGACGAAAGCUGGGGGCACGAACCGGAUUAGAUACCCGGGUAGUCCCAGCCGUAAACUAUGCUCGCUAGGUGUCAGGGACGGUGCGACCGUUUCUGGUGCCGCAGGGAAGCCGUGAAGCGAGCCACCUGGGAAGUACGGUCGCAAGGCUGAAACUUAAAGGAAUUGGCGGGAAUC
This 800-nucleotide ribosomal RNA is filed under the name uncultured archaeon. RNAcentral describes it as "bacterial SSU rRNA". It matches the Rfam family "Archaeal small subunit ribosomal RNA", at positions 75 to 876 of the family's 1478-position model. The record is from RNAcentral.